Molecule: ribosomal RNA, 600 nt
Filed under: uncultured bacterium
Lineage: Bacteria
Description: bacterial SSU rRNA
Rfam family: Bacterial small subunit ribosomal RNA
Source: RNAcentral
AUAUGUCUGGGAAAUGCCUGAUGAGGGGAUACUACUGAACGGUAGCUAUACGAUACGUCGCAGACAAGAGGGGACUUCGGGCUCUGCAUCAAUGUGCAAAUGGAUAGCUAGUAGGUGGGUACGGUCACUAGGGAGAUCCCUACUGUCUGAAAGUGAUCCCCCAAUGGUAUGAAAAAGGACCAAAUCCUACGGGAGGCAGAGGAAUAUGGCAUGGGUGAGAGCCUGAUCAAGCCAUCCCGCGUGAAGGACGACUGCCCUAUGGGUUGUGAACUUCUUUUGUAUAGGGAUAAACCUACCCUCGUGAGGGUAGCUGAAGGUACUAUACGAAUAAGCACCGGUUAACUCCGUGCCAGCAGCCGGGUAAUACGGAGGGUGCAAGCGUUAUCCGGAUUAUGGGUUAAAGGGUCCGAGCGGAUCUGUAAUCAGGUGAAAUCUCAACAGUUUAAANUGUGAAACUGCCAUUGAUACUGCAGGUCUUGAAGUGUGGUGAAGUAGCUGGAAUAAGUAGUGUACGGGAAAUGCCUAGAUUUUCACUUUAGAAACACCAAUUGCGAAGGGCCAGGUUANACCNUUAAAAGGCCCAAAACAACUGACGCUGAU